AAUAGAUACCCGGGUAGUCCACGCCGUAAACGAUGAGUGCUAAGUGUUAGAGGGUUUCCGCCCUUUAGUGCUGCAGCUAACGCAUUAAGCACUCCGCCUGGGGAGUACGGUCGCAAGACUGAAACUCAAAGGAAUUGACGGGGGCCCGCACAAGCGGUGGAGCAUGUGGUUUAAUUCGAAGCAACGCGAAGAACCUUACCAGGUCUUGACAUCCUCUGACAACUCUAGAGAUAGAGUGUUCCCCUUCGGGGGACAGAGUGACAGGUGGUGCAUGGUUGUCGUCAGCUCGUGUCGUGAGAUGUUGGGUUAAGUCCCGCAACGAGCGCAACCCUUGAUCUUAGUUGCCAGCAUUUAGUUGGGCACUCUAAGGUGACUGCCGGUGACAAACCGGAGGAAGGUGGGGAUGACGUCAAAUCAUCAUGCCCCUUAUGACCUGGGCUACACACGUGCUACAAUGGAUGGUACAAAGGGCUGCAAGACCGCGAGGUCAAGCCAAUCCCAUAAAACCAUUCUCAGUUCGGA
Molecule: ribosomal RNA, 522 nt
Filed under: uncultured bacterium
Lineage: Bacteria
Description: bacterial SSU rRNA
Rfam family: Bacterial small subunit ribosomal RNA
Source: RNAcentral